ACGUGAAACCGUUCAGGGGUAAACCUGAGAAACCCGAAAGGUCGAAAGGGGAGAUUCAUUCGCGUCUCGCUCGAUCGGGCAGGGCGAGUGUGCGACGGACGGCCUAGUGUCGUGCGCGCCUCUCGUUCAACGCCAGCGGUCGGCGAACGCGUGCACUUCUCCCCCAGUAGGACGUCGCGAUCCGUUGGGUGCCGGUCUAAGGCCCGCGGUGGAGCCCGUCCGGUCGGCUUUGCCGUACCGGGCGGACCCGCGGUGUCCCGGCCGGCCCGCUCGACGGUAUACAGACGGCGCGGGGCCGCGACUCAGUUCGCGUCCGGCCCGCGGCAAGCGCUGCACGCGCGCCGGCGUUCGGACCUAGUGCCGAUGCCGACCCGUCGCUGGCUGUUGGCCGCGGUGUUCUCGGACAGACCUCGUCGAAACGCCGAUCUGCGACGCUAUAGCUUUGGGUACUUUCAGGACCCGUCUUGAA
This 469-nucleotide ribosomal RNA is filed under the name Blackburniella intricata. RNAcentral's name for it is "eukaryotic LSU rRNA". Lineage: Eukaryota; Metazoa; Arthropoda; Insecta; Coleoptera; Cleridae. The record is from RNAcentral.